UACAGAGGGUGCAAGCGUUAAUCGGAAUUACUGGGCGUAAAGGGCGCGUAGGUGGUUGCGUAAGUGAGAUGUGAAAUCCCCGGGCUUAACCUGGGAACUGCAUCUUAUACUGCGUAGCUGGAGUGCGGUAGAGGGUAGUGGAAUUUCCGGUGUAGCGGUGAAAUGCGUAGAUAUCGGAAGGAACACCAGUGGCGAAGGCGGCUACCUGGACUGACACUGACACUGAGGCGCGAGAGCGUGGGUAGCAAACAGG
This 253-nucleotide ribosomal RNA is filed under the name uncultured bacterium. RNAcentral's name for it is "partial 16S ribosomal RNA". It matches the Rfam family "Bacterial small subunit ribosomal RNA", at positions 524 to 776 of the family's 1533-position model. The record is from RNAcentral.